GACGGAGGGCGCAAACGUUGUUCGGAAUCACUGGGCGUAAAGGGCGCGUAGGCGGAUCGGUAAGUCAGGGGUGAAAGCCCGGGGCUCAACUCCGGGACUGCCUCUGAAACUGCCGGUCUUGAGUGCAGGAGAGGAAGGCGGAAUUCCAGGUGUAGCGGUGGAAUGCGUAGAUAUCUGGAAGAACACCAGUGGCGAAGGCGGCCUUCUGGACUGACACUGACGCUGAGGCGCGAAAGCUAGGGGAGCAAACAGG
RNAcentral lists this ribosomal RNA (253 nucleotides) under uncultured bacterium. RNAcentral describes it as "partial 16S ribosomal RNA". It matches the Rfam family "Bacterial small subunit ribosomal RNA", at positions 524 to 776 of the family's 1533-position model. The record is from RNAcentral.